Molecule: ribosomal RNA, 634 nt
Filed under: uncultured beta proteobacterium
Lineage: Bacteria; Pseudomonadati; Pseudomonadota; Betaproteobacteria
Description: bacterial SSU rRNA
Rfam family: Bacterial small subunit ribosomal RNA
Source: RNAcentral
CGAACGGUAACAGGUCUUCGGAUGCUGACGAGUGGCGAACGGGUGAGUAAUACAUCGGAACGUGCCCGAGAGUGGGGGAUAACGAAGCGAAAGCUUUGCUAAUACCGCAUACGAUCUCGGGAUGAAAGCAGGGGACCGCAAGGCCUUGCGCUCACGGAGCGGCCGAUGGCAGAUUAGGUAGUUGGUGGGAUAAAAGCUUACCAAGCCGACGAUCUGUAGCUGGUCUGAGAGGACGACCAGCCACACUGGGACUGAGACACGGCCCAGACUCCUACGGGAGGCAGCAGUGGGGAAUUUUGGACAAUGGGCGCAAGCCUGAUCCAGCCAUGCCGCGUGCAGGAUGAAGGCCUUCGGGUUGUAAACUGCUUUUGUACGGAACGAAAAGACUCUGGUUAAUACCUGGGGUCCAUGACGGUACCGUAAGAAUAAGCACCGGCUAACUACGUGCCAGCAGCCGCGGUAAUACGUAGGGUGCGAGCGUUAAUCGGAAUUACUGGGCGUAAAGCGUGCGCAGGCGGUUAUGUAAGACAGAUGUGAAAUCCCCGGGCUCAACCUGGGAACUGCAUUUGUGACUGCAUAGCUAGAGUACGGCAGAGGGGGAUGGAAUUCCGCGUGUAGCAGUGAAAUGCGUAGA